UACGUAGGGUGCAGGCGUUAAUCGGAAUUACUGGGCGUAAAGCGUGCGUAGGCGGUCCGCAAAGUCUGAUGUGAAAGCCCCGGGCUCAACCUGGGAACUGCAUUGGAAACUAACGGGCUCGAGUGUGGCAGAGGGGGGUGGAAUUCCACGUGUAGCAGUGAAAUGCGUAGAGAUGUGGAGGAACACCGAUGGCGAAGGCAGCCCCCUGGGCUAACACUGACGCUCAGGCACGAAAGCGUGGGGAGCAAACAGG
Molecule: ribosomal RNA, 253 nt
Filed under: uncultured bacterium
Lineage: Bacteria
Description: partial 16S ribosomal RNA
Rfam family: Bacterial small subunit ribosomal RNA
Source: RNAcentral